CGGCGGACGGGUGAGUAACACGUGGAUAACCUACCUAUAAGACUGGGAUAACUUCGGGAAACCGGAGCUAAUACCGGAUAAUAUAUUGAACCGCAUGGUUCAAUAGUGAAAGACGGUUUUGCUGUCACUUAUAGAUGGAUCCGCGUCGCAUUAGCUAGUUGGUAAGGUAACGGCUUACCAAGGCAACGAUGCGUAGCCGACCUGAGAGGGUGAUCGGCCACACUGGAACUGAGACACGGUCCAGACUCCUACGGGAGGCAGCAGGC
RNAcentral lists this ribosomal RNA (266 nucleotides) under uncultured Staphylococcus sp. RNAcentral's name for it is "partial 16S ribosomal RNA". It matches the Rfam family "Bacterial small subunit ribosomal RNA", at positions 96 to 354 of the family's 1533-position model. Lineage: Bacteria; Bacillati; Bacillota; Bacilli; Caryophanales; Staphylococcaceae. The record is from RNAcentral.